GCCGAAUUAGUUUAGGGGCAAAACAGAUCCAUGGUAAGGAUCAGAGAACAGUUCGACUCUGUUAUUCGGCACCA
Molecule: transfer RNA, 74 nt
Filed under: Mycoplasmoides pneumoniae
Lineage: Bacteria; Bacillati; Mycoplasmatota; Mycoplasmoidales; Mycoplasmoidaceae
Also listed under: 17 other names
Description: tRNA-Thr
Rfam family: tRNA
About the family: Transfer RNA (tRNA) molecules are approximately 80 nucleotides in length.
Source: RNAcentral